RNAcentral lists this ribosomal RNA (428 nucleotides) under uncultured bacterium. RNAcentral describes it as "partial 16S ribosomal RNA". It matches the Rfam family "Bacterial small subunit ribosomal RNA", at positions 354 to 796 of the family's 1533-position model. The record is from RNAcentral.
GUGGGGAAUAUUGCACAAUGGAGGAAACUCUGAUGCAGCGACGCCGCGUGAGUGAUGAAGGCCUUCGGGUCGUAAAGCUCUGUCGCAGGGGAAUAACACAAUGAAGGUACCCUGUAAGAAAGGAUCGGCUAACUUCGUGCCAGCAGCCGCGGUAAGACGAGGGAUCCUAGCGUUGUUCGGAAUCAUUGGGCGUAAAGCGGAUGUAGGUGGCUAUGUAAGUCAGAUGUGAAAGCCUGGGGCUCAACCCCAGAAGUGCAUUUGAUACUGCGUAGCUUGAGUGUCGGAGAGGUUACUAGAAUUGUUGGUGUAGUGGUGAAAUACGUAGAUAUCAACAGGAAUACCGGAGGCGAAGGCGGGUAACUGGCCGAACACUGACACUGAGAUCCGAAAGCGUGGGGAUCAAACAGGAUUAGAAACCCCAGUAGUCC